Molecule: ribosomal RNA, 403 nt
Filed under: bacterium
Lineage: Bacteria
Description: partial 16S ribosomal RNA
Rfam family: Bacterial small subunit ribosomal RNA
Source: RNAcentral
UGGGGAAUAUUGCACAAUGGAGGGAACUCUGAUGCAGCGACGCCGCGUGAACGAAGAAGGCUUUCGAGUCGUAAAGUUCUUUUAUAUGGGAAGAUAAUGACGGUACCAUAAGAAAAAGCCCCGGCUAACUACGUGCCAGCAGCCGCGGUAAUACGUAGGGGGCUAGCGUUGUCCGGAAUCACUGGGCGUAAAGGGUUCGCAGGCGGAAAUGCAAGUCAGGUGUAAAAGGCAGUAGCUUAACUACUGUAAGCAUUUGAAACUGCAUAUCUUGAGAGGAGUAGAGGUAAGUGGAAUUUUUAGUGUAGCGGUGAAAUGCGUAGAUAUUAAAAAGAAUACCGGUGGCGAAGGCGGCUUACUGGGCUCAUUCUGACGCUGAGGAACGAAAGCGUGGGUAGCAAACAGG